Triticum aestivum (bread wheat) is the source of this 2163-nucleotide long non-coding RNA. RefSeq lists it as uncharacterized. The transcript is spliced from 2 exons. Lineage: Eukaryota; Viridiplantae; Streptophyta; Magnoliopsida; Poales; Poaceae. The record is from RefSeq and is a predicted model, not a curated record.
CUCACUUAACCGAGACCGAUCAGUAUUUUUUGCAAAAACAUUACUGAAGACAUGGUGUUUUAAAAAAAAUGUAUUGUAGUGUUUUUCGCAAAUUUAGCCUUUAAAGUGGUGGUUUCGUGCAAUUUACUCUUUCAGGAGAUUCCAAUCCAACGAUGCAGCACUAGUCUGAUGGGAAGGCAGCUAUCAGUAGUCUGAUUUCUAGUGUUGCCCAUUCUUAAAUGGUUCGACCUGGAUGUAACUUGUCAACUCAGGCCGCGUUCGGUUUCCCUCUGCUCCAUAGCUCCGCUCCCAGAGCGGUAGUUAAAAUACUUGGAGCCAUCAAACAGCUGCUCUGCAGAUUCUAGAAUUCGAAGAGUUGGUGGACUGCCGAACGCGCCCAGUGUAUACAUAACCCGAGGUUUUUGUGGACCCGAAGUAAGAAACUGAGAACCGCGCGACCACCCCCCAAACUACUCCCGAAAUCCGAUCCCCUCGGUCCACUAGCUUCUCCCUUUCCGCCUCUCAAUCCGCGCGGCGACGAAGGGGAGGGAAUCCCCUAGGUUUUUAGCUGCGAGCGUCGCCGGCGGGCAGUCGGGGGCCGCGACGGCCAAGGGGAACGGGAGUGCGGACCGUCGCGGACCUCCGCAGAGGGGCAGCGUGUCAACAGCCGAAGCACCAGCAUUCCACCCGAGCGACCACGCACGCGAGGAAUAGGAGGGGAAGCUCUCGGUGGCGCGUGGCGGCGAACGUCUCCGUUAGAAGAGGUUAGGUGGAAGACAGUACAUAACACAAAGCAAGAUCUCAGCAUCUUCUCUAACCAGGUUCAAAAAACUGUGAGGGGACCGUAGGGUAGUUCACGCAUGCUCGGCGCUGGGCCCAUCUGCCUGCGGCCCAAUACGCGGCACAUAUCUUGGGCCCAGCGCAUGGCCCACCAUUGGACUUCGCGAGCAAGGCACACGUCAGAACGCGCUACCAAGGGCCUUGCGAGGCCCUCUCGCGAGGCUGUCUCCCGAGGCCUCCUCCCCUGAGGCAAGCAACUUGAGGGCUCCUCAGCCCGGUCGCACGGCGCUGCGCCUGUCACGUGGGUGACGCGCACGACGACGAAGAAAGCUAGAAGAGCGCCAGCAGGCGCACAGGAGGAGGCUUUCCUCUUUCGUGCUAAAUGAGCGAGGCCAGCACACCUGUACCCAAAGCAGUCCCCAAAGGUGGCCAGAUCGGUGCAAGAAGACCAAGACGACGAGCGUGCCAGGGCGGAGGUCAUUACCGAGCCCACCAGUGCGUCAUGGAUAGGAGCUUUGCAGGCAAAGACCAUCUUUUGUCAGGAUAAGCUGUGCUCCUGUCCCCCUUCAAACUGGCCGUUGUGGCAACCCUUCCGGCCAAGUGUUUUCGGGGGAAGAGGACCAAGGCAAGUAUAAAAGAGGGGAGGGUGCCGCUGUAGAAGGGGAUCGAUUCCUACCCCCAACUCUUGUACUCUCAUUCUCCCUCGCGAGAGCAAUCCAACCACAAAGCAGGAGUAGGGUUUUACACCGCAAGGUGGCCCGAACCUGGGUUAAUUGUCGUGUCUACUGUUCUUCUUUAGCUCGUGUUCGUCGAAGCGUCGUCGUGAGGUUGCGAGGUUGUGAAGUAGAGCAGGGCGGUAGCAGCGUGCGCACCUCGGUGUUCGAAUCUCUCGGGUCCCCGGAGGCCCGAUUCUGACAUUUGGCGCGCCGGGUAGGGGUGUGCCGCUGUUCUUCCGCUUCGUUCCGAUCUCCGCUCCACCAACUCCAUGGCUGACGCUCGCCGUGUUCGUGCCGGGUGCGGGGCGGCUCGCGUCGCCCAGACGGAGCCCGCUGGCCGCGGCAACCGCCGCCACUCUGCCGAGGCUGCGGCAGCCGCAACCGACCCCGUCGCCCACGAGCAGCAGGACUCCUCCAUGCACCCUUCUGUGCAGCUUGACGGUCGCACCGCUACGGUCUCCUCCCUCGGCCGUCGCGGGCCGGCGAACGCGGAAGCCCCGGCGCUCAUGGCGCGUGAGCUGCUCCGCUACUGCCCGAUCGACACCGGCUACGAUGCCUGGCUUGGCCGCAUCCCCACUCUAAGCUAUGAAUAGGAUUACUUGAUGUUAGUCCUUCAACAUAUGUUUUACUUAAAAAUGGAAGUUAUUGUACUUGGGUGAUGUGUCGAGUAAAUGAUGAUUCCAUACGA